Molecule: long non-coding RNA, 2044 nt
Organism: Octopus sinensis (East Asian common octopus)
Lineage: Eukaryota; Metazoa; Mollusca; Cephalopoda; Octopoda; Octopodidae
Exons: 2
Source: RefSeq, a predicted model, not a curated record
CACAUACACAGGUUCAUAUAGUUUCUGUCUACUGACUUCACUCACAAGGCUUUAGUCAGCUUAGGUUAUUGGGUGAAGAUACUUGCCCAGGGUACCAUACAUUAAGACUGAACCCAAAAUCACAUGCUGCCAAGUGAAUUUCCCAAUCCCACAACCAUAUCUGCAUUUGUUAUUAUUAAUACUACUAACAUUUAUUAGUAUUAUAUUACUUAAUAAACAGAUGAUUAAACCAAAAAACAAAUUUAGUUCUUAACACAAAGAGUUCAGAAUUCUUCAAAGAUCAAGCACUGGAAUGGUGUGUUUGUUCAUCAUUCACAUGUUAUUGAUGUUUUAUGAGGAAAUGAAGAAAGGCCUGGUGGUAUUUGUUCCAGCUCUUUAUAUUCCAAGCUCACAUUCCACCAAGGUUGACUUCAUCUUUCAUCCGACCGAGGUUGAUAAAAUAAAGUCCCCAGUCAAAUACUGGGGUCGAUGAUAUCAACCAACACCCUCCCUUCAGAAUUCUUGGUCGUUUGCUUUUGGACCUAAAUUUAAGAAAACAAAUAUGACUUAAUUUAUUCAAAGGCAGUGUCUGGGAGAAACAGAGUGUUGGAAGAAAUGCCUGGCACUAUUUGUUCCAGCCCUUUAUGCUUUGAGCUCAAAUUCUGCUGAGGUCAUCUUCAUCUCUCAUCCCUCUACGAUUGAUAAAAUUUAGUACCAGUGAAGUUGAAGGUUUUGACUAGAACCCCCCUCCCUCAAAAUUGGGGCAUUGAGCCUAAAUUAAAAAAUUAGCAUCAGUUCUUUCAUUUAUUCAAUUAUUUAUUAGAAAUGGUAGAUUUCAUCUGGAUUCAUUUUUAUUACCAAAAACAAGCAAAAUAUUUUGUAUUGCGUAAAGAAUGCACAAGAAUGUAGAUUGGAAGAAUUUCUAAAGCAACAGACAAAAUGCUUUGUGGUAUUUUUUCCAGCUCAUUAUACUGAGGUCAACUUUGUUUUCAUCCCACCGGGGGCCAAUAAAAUAAAGCACCAGUCCAUUACUGGGAUUCUUAUAAUCAAUUAUUAUCCUCCCCCUAAAUUCCAAGCCUUGUGUCUAUAUGUUUGAAACAAUUAUGUGAACAAUGCAUUCUUAUAAGUUAAUUUUUAUUUUUUAUUUCUAAUGAAAAUUUCAAUCAAUAUUUCGAAGUAAAUUGUCUUCAUAAAGUGAUAAAUUUUAUUUGAAACAGUAAAAGAUCUUACCUCCAAAACUAUUUGGAGUCAGCCAAAGUUUUAGUUUGUUCCUUUAUUUUUCAUGGACUUUCAUGCAAUUGUUACCAUUUCUAGUUGUUUCUUACAGAUGAUAUGAUUAACCCAGUGAGGGCUGUGGAUUGGAAGAAUGUUAGUGUCAAACAAAAUACCAUGCAGCGUGUGUUUCGGCUCUUUACCUUCUGAGUUCAAAUCUUGCUCAGGUUAACUUUACCUGGGUUUCACAAAAUAAAGUACCAGUCAUAUACUGGAAUCAUUUUAAUCAACUAACUGCAACCUCCAAAUUCCAGGCCCUUGUGCAUAUGUUAGCAACAAUUACUCGGUGAUGCACAUCAUGGUUCACGUGGACUGCAAUCUGUCCAUACCCAAAUUUUGGUGGCCCACAGUGAAUUUUAUGUCCUGCUGUUUCAUUGCAUAAUAUGACUAAAAUUAAAUGUAUAUCUGGUGGCCCAUCAAGUUUUCUUCAUUAAUUUUUUUAGUGGCCAACCUUCUGUAAAAAGUUUAUUACACUUUAAAUGACCUAUGGCCAAUCAGGGCCUGUAAGAAAAGGUGAGGAGAUCAGCUGGUACUUUAGUCUGGGACCAAAAGAGCAUAAGAAACGGCUUCAAGACAAUCUGUCAGGCACCAAGUACCCUAAAAAAAUUCUUUUUGAUAAUUCUACCCACCCGUGAAUUUGGGGCCCCCGAAAGCUCUUUUGCUCCCCCCUUGCCAACCCAAUUUCUCUUAGAGGCCCUGGUGGCAGUGAUCUCAAAGACAAAAUAUUCUUCUGAACCAUGAUGUUGCUGCCUGCUGCAUAUAUUAAUUAAUUAAUGAUUUAAAGCAGUGAUUU